Molecule: ribosomal RNA, 433 nt
Filed under: uncultured Ruminococcus sp.
Lineage: Bacteria; Bacillati; Bacillota; Clostridia; Eubacteriales; Oscillospiraceae
Description: partial 16S ribosomal RNA
Rfam family: Bacterial small subunit ribosomal RNA
Source: RNAcentral
ACGGAAGGCAGCAGUGGGGAAUAUUGCACAAUGGGGGAAACCCUGAUGCAGCGAUGCCGCGUGGAGGAAGAAGGUUUUCGGAUUGUAAACUCCUGUCUUAAGGGACGAUAAUGACGGUACCUUAGGAGGAAGCUCCGGCUAACUACGUGCCAGCAGCCGCGGUAAUACGUAGGGAGCGAGCGUUGUCCGGAAUUACUGGGUGUAAGGGAGCGUAGGCGGGAUGGCAAGUCAGAUGUGAAAACUAUGGGCUCAACCCAUAGACUGCAUUUGAAACUGUUGUUCUUGAGUGAAGUAGAGGUAAGCGGAAUUCCUAGUGUAGCGGUGAAAUGCGUAGAUAUUAGGAGGAACAUCGGUGGCGAAGGCGGCUUACUGGGCUUUUACUGACGCUGAGGCUCGAAAGCGUGGGGAGCAAACAGGAUUAGAUACCCUGGUA